Schistocerca piceifrons (Central American locust) is the source of this 2416-nucleotide long non-coding RNA. RefSeq lists it as uncharacterized. The transcript is spliced from 3 exons. The record is from RefSeq and is a predicted model, not a curated record. NCBI's taxonomy places the organism in Eukaryota, Metazoa, Arthropoda, Insecta, Orthoptera, Acrididae.
UCAUAUCAUCUGCAUAAAGUAUUUUGAUUUCAGUUUCACAUGUUUGUAUAUUAUUCACAAAUAAAUUGAAGAGAGCAGGUCCCAUUACAGAACCUUGAGUUACAACAUACAUAAUGCUUCUAACAUCUGAUCUUUAUAAGUUAUUAAUGGUUACAUAUUGCCUCCUGUUUCUUAGAUAUGAUGUUAUCCAGUGUGCUGCAUGUCUACGAAUACCAGCAUUCUCUAGUUUCUUUACUAGAACUGUAUGUUGAACUGUGUCAAAUGCCUUGGAUAAAUGAAGAAAAACUCCAGACACUACCAUCUUGUUGUCCAAGGCCCGUGCAAUUGAUUCUGUUAAUGAUUCAGUUGCUGUUUCCAUUGAUUUCCCUUUCUGUUGUACAUGCUGUGCUGGAGUUAUUACAUUAUGGAUAUCGAAAUAAGCAGUUAGUCUGUCUAGCAUGAGAAUUUCUAAUAUUUUGGAGAAGCCUGAUACUAGCCUGUAGUUGUUAGGGUCAUCUUGCUUUCCCUUUUUGUAUACAGGUACAAGUUUAACUAAUUUGAAUUUAUCUGUAAAUAGUACUUCUUGGAAAGAGUGGUUGGUAAUAUCCCGUAGUGGCAUAAUUACUUCUGCUGCCUCCUACUUGAUUAGGUAGUUUGACACUUCAUCAUGUCCAACAGACUUUUUCGCUUUUAGCAUUUUCAUAACAUAUGUCAGUUCCUUUUCAGACACUGGUUUCUCGAUCAUUGAGUGCCAUGGCUUAUCUGUCAUGACAGUUUGGGAGCACUAAAGGCCAAAGUAGUACAACAAACCCACACACGUUACAGGAACUCAAGGAUAAUAUCCAUGAGUCAGUUCAUUCACUUUCUCAAAGAGAAGUACAUUGUGUGACAAAUAAUUUCUUCAGUAGAUGUGAGGAAUGUGUGGAAAAAAAAUGGCAUGUACUUCCAGCAUCUCAGUGCAUUAUAUAGACAGAAGAUAGGAAUGAAGUGCCAACCUAUUCUAAACUGGAAGUGCAGUCUGUAGCAAAUUAUGUGGAGAGUUUGCGUAGCAACAGUAGUAAUACAAGGUGUCCAACAAAGGACUUGCUAACAUUAGAAUUAAAUGGCAUGAAAAUAGUAGAACAGACAUUAUGUUUAUUGUGAAAGCAGUAAGAACUUUAUACACAAGCUUUGAAAUAAUAGUUACAAAACAUGGAACUGUCAUAGCAAAACAAUGUACUUAUAAAUAAUACUCCAAAGUUCAGAGCAAUCAGUUAAUCAACUUCAAAUGGAGAGGCAGCAUGUAAAUGUUGGGCCGGUGGCAGCUGUAGUUACUCCUGAAGAUAUCACCAUAGUUUAUGAAAGAAUACAGCAGAAUAUGAGGAAAUUUGCCCAAACAAUUUCUAUAGAGGCUGGUUUGAAGUGUUGAAGCAUGCAUACACUACUGAGAAAUGGUCCACAUAUGUUCCUAUUCAAAAUCCAAAGCCACCGGGUCAUAUCUGUAACCACUAUGAAAUAAAGGGCUUACUGCAGACCAAAUUCUCACAAUAAGUGAAGGAUUUGGUGCUGGCUGCAUCUGGUUUACUGGUUAGGGAUACACCCAUCUGAAUGUGUUGGAGAAUAAGAAAACUGGCAAUUUUGGGGUACCAAAAAGCCCCUUUUGUAUGAAGAAAAACCAUUGCAUUCUUCUAAAGCUAUUGUUUAGGCUUGUGAUAUGCAGCAGGCAUACAAUGAGCCCUUACGUCAUGCAAGAAUCAGUAGCUAGUAAACAUUAUAAUUUUUGAAAAGUUUGUCAUCAAACAAUAAGCAUUAGAGCAUCAAUGUGCACUGAGUGAUUCAUGCAAAAUGCGGCCUGACCACAUCCGACCAAACUGGUGUUCCACUUUCUUGAGGAAUGCUUUGAGAAUAGGGUCAUUGUGUGGAUUAUCUCAUUUUUAUGGACACAGGCAUGGAAAGCCUCCAUAUUCACUCAGUCUGACUUUUGGGACUACUUUUCUGGGACACGUUGAAAUACAUUAUCAACUGGGACCAUCCCACCACACUGGAUGAAUAUGGACUGUUUGCAUUGCAACUGAAUCCUUAAUAAAAAGAAAAUAUGGCUUCAAAUUCAAAUUUUCUGAAUCUACAAGAGAAAAUGCUCAGCCAGCUACAUGCAUUGACAAUAUUUUAACGAAUUAUGAAUUUGAAGAUGGAUAUAAAUUUUGUCUAGAUCUAGGAAUUUCUGAUCAUUCAGCAUUAUUCAUUGAGCUACCCCAACCAGGUAGAGAAGCCCCAUCUAAAAAAGCUUAUGUAAACAGGAUCUUCAACUAAGAAACUUUGACUCUAUUCCAUGAUAAGCUCAAGGAGACAGAAUGGCACUUUGAUAAAAAUAUUUCAUGCACAGCAAAUUUUGAAGCAUUUCUAGGGGAUUCUCUAAGUGUUUUCAAUGAAAUGUUUCCACAAAAGACUUAUUUUAAUA